Molecule: ribosomal RNA, 253 nt
Filed under: uncultured bacterium
Lineage: Bacteria
Description: partial 16S ribosomal RNA
Rfam family: Bacterial small subunit ribosomal RNA
Source: RNAcentral
UACGUAGGUGGCAAGCGUUGUCCGGAUUUACUGGGUUUAAAGGGUGCGUAGGCGGUUUUAUAAGUCAGUCGUUAAAGGCAGCAGCUUAACUGUUGUAAGGCGAUUGAUACUGUUGAACUUGAAUUAUUUCGAGGUUGUCGGAAUACGUAGUGUAGCGGUGAAAUGCUCAGAUAUUACGUAGAACGCCGAUUGCGAAGGCAGAUAACUAGGAAUAGAUUGACGCUGAGGCACGAAAGUGUGGGGAGCGAACAGG